This 506-nucleotide ribosomal RNA is filed under the name uncultured bacterium. RNAcentral's name for it is "partial 16S ribosomal RNA". It matches the Rfam family "Bacterial small subunit ribosomal RNA", at positions 28 to 523 of the family's 1533-position model. The record is from RNAcentral.
GAUGAACGCUAGCUACAGGCUUAACACAUGCAAGUCGAGGGGUAACGGGAGGAAAGCUUGCUUUCCUUGUCGACGACCGGCGCACGGGUGAGUAACGCGUAUCCAACCUGCCCCCAACUAGGGAAUAACCUUGCGAAAGUAAGACUAAUACCCUAUAAUUUCCUCAGAUGUCAUCUGACGAGGAAUAAAGAUUUAUCGGUUGUGGAUGGGGAUGCGUCUGAUUAGCUUGUUGGCGGGGUAACGGACCACCAAGGCAACGAUCAGUAGGGGUUCUGAGAGGAAGGUCCCCCACAGUGGAACUGAGACACGGUCCAAACUCCUACGGGAGGCAGCAGUGAGGAAUAUUGGUCAAUGGGCGGAAGCCUGAACCAGCCAAGUAGCGUGCAGGAUGACGGCCCUAUGGGUUGUAAACUGCUUUUAUACAGGAAUAAAGUUAGCCACGUGUGGUUAUUUGUAGGUACUGUAUGAAUAGGGACCGGCUAAUUCCGUGCCAGCCGCCGCCGUAA